This 468-nucleotide ribosomal RNA is filed under the name uncultured bacterium. RNAcentral describes it as "partial 16S ribosomal RNA". It matches the Rfam family "Bacterial small subunit ribosomal RNA", at positions 28 to 507 of the family's 1533-position model. The record is from RNAcentral.
GACGAACGCUGGCGGCGUGCUUAACACAUGCAAGUCGAACGAAAAGGCCCUGCUUUUGUGGGGUGCUCGAGUGGCGAACAGGUGAGUAUCACGUGAGUAACCUGCCCUUGACUUUGGGAUAAAUUCAGGAGACUGGGGCUCAUACCGGAUAGGAGCUCCUGCUGCAUGGUGGUGGUUGGAAAGAUUCGGCGGUUGGGGCUGGACUCGAGGCUUAUCCGCUUGUUGGUGGGGUAGUGGCUGACCAAGGCUUUGACGGGUAGCCCGCCUGGGAGGGUUACCGGCCACAUGGGGACUGAGAGACGGCCCAGACUCCUACCGGAGGCAGCGGUGGGGAGUCUUGCAGAAUGGGCGGAAGCCUGAUGCAGCAACGCCGCGUGCGGGAUGACGGGCUUCGGGUUGUAAACCGAUUUCUCAUUUGAUGAAGAGUGAGUGACGGUAAUGGGUAAAGAAGCACCGGCUAACUACGUG